Molecule: RNA transcript, 1219 nt
Organism: Syngnathus typhle (broad-nosed pipefish)
Lineage: Eukaryota; Metazoa; Chordata; Actinopteri; Syngnathiformes; Syngnathidae
Gene name: transmembrane emp24 domain-containing protein 5-like
Exons: 5
Source: RefSeq, a predicted model, not a curated record
ACAAACUCGAAAGACUGGAGCCGAGCCGGCCAAGCAGGUUCUGACAGGAGCCGCUUUGCCGGCAACUCUCGUCCCUGCGCUCACACAGCGAUUGGGACCAUGGCGUGUUGGUUGGCUUUGGCGGCCUAUCUGGCCGCAUACGUGGCCCAGGUUUUGUCUUUCGAGUCCAGUCGAGACAUGGAAUUUACCUUCUUGUUACCGGCGGGCAGCAAGGAGUGCUUCUUUCAACCCGUAGCCAAGGACAACAUGCUCGAAUUUGAAUACCAAGUAAUUGGCGAGCCAAAUAUGGAUGUGAUCUUCACUAUGUUGUCACCCAGUGGCCGCCGAUUGUUUGAGGACAACAGAAAAAGUCGCGGCCUCCACAAGCUGCAGAACACUGAUGAAGGCGAUUACCAGCUGUGCUUCGACAACGUUUUCAGCAAGAUGAAGGAGAAGCUGUUGUUCUUCACGUUGGUCAUCAGCGAUCCCAAUGAUAUGGACGAAGAUGACGAAGAGCUUCUGAAGGAGAUCUCUGACACUGAAACUAUGGAAUACAGGCUGCAAGACUUCAAGGCCCGUAUCGACGCCUUACACCAGAAAAUCCAGAGGGGUCGCGUGAUCCAGCUCAUGCUCAGGACCUUCGACACCAAGGACCAGCGCCUGCAAGACAACAAUCUGUGGAGAGUCAGCUUCUGGUCCUUCUUCUGCGUGGUGGUGAUCAUGGUUGUGGGCGUCUCUCAGGUCCGCGUGCUUGAGUCGCUCUUCCCCGGGAGCUAGAACGCCCCCCGCGGCCGGUGGGCAGCUUCGGCACAGUCUAACGUUUGUACACUUGCGCCUUCACUUACAAGAUUCACCUUCCUACACCAAUGUACGAGCACAAAACUCAAGAUAAGCAGUGCUGAAAAUGCAUGUAUAGUAAUCUUUUGAGAAAAGUCACAAUUGUAGGAAAAUGAGAAAAAUUAAACCAAAGGACCAUCACAAGUUGUAAUACUGUGUAUUGAAAGUCUACACACCCCUGUUUAAUUACCACCUUUUUGUGAUUGAUUUUUUUUUUCAAUUUAAUUUUUGUUUAUUUGACAGGGACAGUGUACAACCAGUGUACCACAAGAGGCUUUUAGUCAUGAGUCCCUGAGGCAAGGUGUGCGAAGUAUCUUGCUCAAGGUUCGAGCUGCCGACCCUCCUGUUUCUGAACAACCCAGUAUUAGUGAGCAGAACGGAACAAAUAAAGUUAACAGUGACA